RNAcentral lists this ribosomal RNA (434 nucleotides) under uncultured bacterium. Its description in RNAcentral is "partial 16S ribosomal RNA". It matches the Rfam family "Bacterial small subunit ribosomal RNA", at positions 29 to 507 of the family's 1533-position model. The record is from RNAcentral.
AGCGAACGCUGGCGGCAGGCCUAACACAUGCAAGUCGAACGAACCUUUCGGGGUUAGUGGCGGACGGGUGAGUAACACGUGGGAACGUGCCUUUAGGUUCGGAAUAACUCAGGGAAACUUGUGCUAAUACCGAAUGUGCCCUUCGGGGGAAAGAUUUAUCGCCUUUAGAGCGGCCCGCGUCUGAUUAGCUAGUUGGUUGAGGUAAUGGCUCACCAAGGCGACGAUCAGUAGCUGGUCUGAGAGGAUGAUCAGCCACAUUGGGACUGAGACACGGCCCAAACCCCGCGGGAAGGCGGCAGUGGGAAAUCUUGCGAAGGGGGGGAAGGCUUGACGCGCCCAUCCCGGGUAAAUAAGGAGGGUUUUGGGUUUGAAAAAUUUUUCCCCGGGGGAAGAUAAGGACGGGACCCGGAAAAGAAGCCCGGGCUAAUUUCGUG